AAGGCCCUGACUGGAGGCCAGCAGUACUAUUACAGCGGUUGGUUUCAUGCAGCCGCUCCAAGGACUGUCUUCCUGUGGUCUGUUGGCUGUUCUGGAACCUCAGUAGAGAAUGGCUCUUUCAUUGGAAGAAACAGUG
Molecule: small nucleolar RNA, 136 nt
Filed under: Dasypus novemcinctus (nine-banded armadillo)
Lineage: Eukaryota; Metazoa; Chordata; Mammalia; Cingulata; Dasypodidae
Source: RNAcentral